CGAGGUACCUCAGUUUAAGAAGCGUGCGCGUGCUCGACACGCUUUGAUUUCUAUCACCGCGUUAGGACCGCUCGCAACCAUGAAGUGUUAUAUUUUGUGUGUGGUGGUCUUUCUGAGCGUUUUAGCGCAGGGAGUUGUAAGUGAGAGUGCCCCUCCCAGCGGGAGCCUAGAAAGCAGUCACAUUGUGUCAAAACGUUCGCUAUCUCAGCUGGCGAAGAUGUUCGGGCUCGAUCGGAUUUUCGAAUCCAAGGCGCUGCCCGUGACUGCCGCACCCAUCUUGACAACGCCGAUACCUCCGAUCCUCAUCGCUGCCGCCGCCUCUGUAAACGUAAAAAUCCAACCCCCUGCGACCACGCCUCCUCCAGUCGUGGUGAUUGCCAGAGAAUCCGCUGAAGAAGCGGCGCCGGUCUCUAAUCCCUCCGCCUGAAGUACACCCCCGAGCCGACGGGGAAUUCACUGGAAGAAUCGAUGGACACGAGGUCAAUACCUACAAAAGGAUCCUACACUCGAAGGGACAUAAUGUUUGUUUUUACUCGAACCUAUUUGUAUAACUGGAAACUGCACGAAUAAAAAAUAUCCACUCCGAUCUGAG
This is a long non-coding RNA of Galendromus occidentalis (western predatory mite), 592 nucleotides long. RefSeq lists it as uncharacterized. The record is from RefSeq and is a predicted model, not a curated record. Lineage: Eukaryota; Metazoa; Arthropoda; Arachnida; Mesostigmata; Phytoseiidae. The transcript is spliced from 3 exons.